This 212-nucleotide ribosomal RNA is filed under the name uncultured Desulfuromonas sp. RNAcentral's name for it is "partial 16S ribosomal RNA". It matches the Rfam family "Bacterial small subunit ribosomal RNA", at positions 1171 to 1382 of the family's 1533-position model. The record is from RNAcentral. Lineage: Bacteria; Pseudomonadati; Thermodesulfobacteriota; Desulfuromonadia; Desulfuromonadales; Desulfuromonadaceae.
AAGUGGGGAUGACGUCAAGUCCUCAUGGCCCUUAUGUCCAGGGCUACACACGUGCUACAAUGGCCGGUACAAAGGGCAGCAAAGCCGCGAGGUGGAGCCAAUCCCAGAAAGCCGGUCUCAGUUCGGAUUGGAGUCUGCAACUCGACUCCAUGAAGUUGGAAUCGCUAGUAAUUGCGGAUCAGCAUGCCGCGGUGAAUACGUUCCCGGGCCUU